GGAGCGGUGGCCGAGCGGUUGAAGGCGUACGCUUGGAAAGCGUAUUUACGGCCCAAAGCCGUAACGUGGGUUCGAAUCCCACCCGCUCCGCCA
This 93-nucleotide transfer RNA is filed under the name Planctomycetota bacterium. RNAcentral's name for it is "Planctomycetes bacterium (sediment metagenome) tRNA-Ser". It matches the Rfam family "tRNA". From Rfam's summary of the family: Transfer RNA (tRNA) molecules are approximately 80 nucleotides in length. The record is from RNAcentral. Lineage: Bacteria; Pseudomonadati; Planctomycetota.